AUCGCUUCUCGGCCUUUUGGCUAAGAUCAAGUGUAGAAAAGUACAGCAUUAGGAUUCAUCGUGGCCCUUAAAUUAGACUCAACCGGAUUAAAAUACCUGAUUCCCUACUUACAAGCUAGGUGAGCUUGCUCAAGUUAUUUAACUUUUCUAAGCUUCAGUUUCUUUAAUUGCAGAGUAAUGACAUCUACU
Non-coding RNA from Oryctolagus cuniculus (rabbit), 189 nucleotides. The record is from RefSeq and is a predicted model, not a curated record. NCBI's taxonomy places the organism in Eukaryota, Metazoa, Chordata, Mammalia, Lagomorpha, Leporidae.